GAAAAGUGAGCGGAUGAACUGAGGGUAGCGGAGAAAUUCCAAUCGAACCUGGAGAUAGCUGGUUCUCUCCGAAAUAGCUUUAGGGCUAGCCUCAAGUGAUGAUUAUUGGAGGUAGAGCACUGUUUGGACGAGGGGCCCCUCUCGGGUUACCGAAUUCAGACAAACUCCGAAUGCCAAUUAAUUUAACUUGGGAGUCAGAACAUGGGUGAUAAGGUCCGUGUUCGAAAGGGAAACAGCCCAGACCACCAGCUAAGGUCCCAAAAUAUAUGUUAAGUGGAAAAGGAUGUGGCGUUGCCCAGACAACUAGGAUGUUGGCUUAGAAGCAGCCAUCAUUUAAAGAGUGCGUAAUAGCUCACUAGUCGAGUGACACUGCGCCGAAAAUGUACCGGGGCUAAACAUAUUACCGAAGCUGUGGAUUGUCCUUUGGACAAUGGUAGGAGAGCGUUCUAAGGGCGUUGAAGCAUGAUCGUAAGGACAUGUGGAGCGCUUAGAAGUGAGAAUGCCGGUGUGAGUAGCGAAAGACGGGUGAGAAUCCCGUCCACCGAUUGACUAAGGUUUCCAGAGGAAGGCUCGUCCGCUCUGGGUUAGUCGGGUCCUAAGCUGAGGCCGACA
RNAcentral lists this ribosomal RNA (612 nucleotides) under Staphylococcus aureus. RNAcentral describes it as "partial 23S ribosomal RNA". It matches the Rfam family "Bacterial large subunit ribosomal RNA", at positions 791 to 1407 of the family's 2925-position model. The record is from RNAcentral. Lineage: Bacteria; Bacillati; Bacillota; Bacilli; Caryophanales; Staphylococcaceae.